Molecule: ribosomal RNA, 423 nt
Filed under: Anevrina thoracica
Lineage: Eukaryota; Metazoa; Arthropoda; Insecta; Diptera; Phoridae
Description: partial 16S ribosomal RNA
Source: RNAcentral
CUUUUGAAUUUAAUUUAAGGUCUAACCUGCCCACUGAAUUUUUAAAUGGCCGCAGUAUUCUAACUGUGCAAAGGUAGCAUAAUCAUUAGUCUUUUAAUUGAAGGCUGGAAUGAAUGGUUGAAUGAAAUAUUAACUGUUUCAAUUUAAUUUAUUAUAGAAUUUUAUUUUUUAGUCAAAAAGCUAAAAUAUGAUUAAAAGACGAGAAGACCCUAUAAAUCUUUAUAAUUAGUUUUUUAAAAAUAUAUAGAUAAUUUAAUUUAUAAAAAAUUUAAUUAUUUUAUUGGGGUGAUAUUAAAAUUUAAUAAACUUUUAAUUUAUAGAUUACAUAAAUUAAUGAAUUAUUGAUCCAUUUUUAUGAUUAUAAAAUUAAGUUACUUUAGGGAUAACAGCGUAAUUUUUUUAGAGAGUUCAUAUUGAUAAAAA